Long non-coding RNA from Dunckerocampus dactyliophorus (ringed pipefish), 519 nucleotides. RefSeq lists it as uncharacterized. NCBI's taxonomy places the organism in Eukaryota, Metazoa, Chordata, Actinopteri, Syngnathiformes, Syngnathidae. The transcript is spliced from 3 exons. The record is from RefSeq and is a predicted model, not a curated record.
GUGGAAGUCAUCCUUUCAUCAGUGCAGCACUUCUUCCUUCCUCUCCGAGCCAUGGAAGCGCCUCUUAAACAAAGACAAUCCGACAAUGACCUCCGCCAAGGCUAAAUUGGAUCAGCACCUUCUCAGGAACUCACCUCCUGCUGUGGAUUGGAUUUUGUCCAUCCUGAGGAUUCAGGCUCAGGAAUAAAGAAAAAUGCAGGAAAAAAACCUUUGUUGCAUCUCUUCUCCACCAAGAAGACAGCCUGCCUGCCUGCAGAGCCCGGCAUUGCUCUGGGACGGACCUGUCAAUCACGUCUGACAACAUCCAGUGGCGUCAUUCUUUGCUGGAGCACUGCAUGUUUGUCAACGUCUCGUGCCCCCUGUGUGGGUUUGUGCUGUAUCCUCGGAAUAGAGUCCCUUUUUCUGCUCUGCAACCAGCAUAAUUAAAGACCGGCAUCUCUGCAUCUUGGGGUCAUCACCACACCAUACCAUGGCAAUGUGCAGGUAGAUCCAAUAAAUGUCAGGUACUGUGCAUUCCAA